Molecule: unclassified non-coding RNA, 377 nt
Filed under: plant metagenome
Description: partial contains 5.8S ribosomal RNA, internal transcribed spacer 2, and large subunit ribosomal RNA
Rfam family: 5.8S ribosomal RNA (bases 1-105)
Source: RNAcentral
GAAAUGCGAUAAGUAAUGUGAAUUGCAGAAUUCAGUGAAUCAUCGAAUCUUUGAACGCACCUUGCGCUCCUUGGUAUUCCUUGGAGCAUGCCUGUUUGAGUAUCAUGAAAUCUUCAAAGUAAAUCUUUUGUUAACUCAAUUGGUUUCUACUUUGGUAUUGGAGGUCUUUGCAGCUUCACACCUGCUCCUCUUUGUUCAUUAGCUGGAUCUCAGUGUUAUGCUUGGUCCACUCGGCGUGAUAAGUUAUCUAUCGCUGAGGACACUGUAAAAGGUGGCCAAGGUAAAUGCAGAUGAACCGCUUCUAAUAGUCCAUUGACUUGGACAAUACUUUUAUGAUCUGAUCUCAAAUCAGGUAGGACUACCCGCUGAACUUAAGC